UGCCAGCCGCCGCGGUAAUACGGAGGGGGCAAGCGUUGUUCGGAUUUAUUGGGUGUAAAGGGUGUGUAGGCGGCAUAAUAAGUCAGAUGUGAAAUCUCUGGGCUCAACCCAGAAACUGCAUUUGAUACUGUUAAGCUAGAGUACCAAAGAGGCAUAUGGAAUUCUUGGUGUAGGAGUGAAAUCCGCAGAUAUCAAGAAGAACACCAGUAGCGAAGGCGAUAUGCUGGGUGGAUACUGACGCUGAAACACGAAAGCAAGGGUAGCGAACGGGAUUAGAUA
RNAcentral lists this ribosomal RNA (279 nucleotides) under uncultured bacterium. RNAcentral's name for it is "partial 16S ribosomal RNA". It matches the Rfam family "Bacterial small subunit ribosomal RNA", at positions 506 to 784 of the family's 1533-position model. The record is from RNAcentral.